GAUGGCUACAUGCGGACAUGCGCUCAUUUACAUAAUGUCCGUCUGAAAUACGAGGAGGAGAGUAGUGUAAGAGCCGGCUAAGUUCGGAGUUCCAAAUGU
Molecule: long non-coding RNA, 99 nt
Organism: Alosa sapidissima (American shad)
Lineage: Eukaryota; Metazoa; Chordata; Actinopteri; Clupeiformes; Clupeidae
Exons: 3
Source: RefSeq, a predicted model, not a curated record